Molecule: ribosomal RNA, 407 nt
Filed under: uncultured bacterium
Lineage: Bacteria
Description: bacterial SSU rRNA
Rfam family: Bacterial small subunit ribosomal RNA
Source: RNAcentral
UGGGGAAUAUUGCACAAUGGGCGCAAGCCUGAUGCAGCAACGCCGCGUGAGGGACGACGGCCUUCGGGUUGUAAACCUCUUUUGGCAGGGAAGAAGCGAAAGUGACGGUACCUGCAGAAAAAGCACCGGCUAACUACGUGCCAGCAGCCGCGGUGAUACGUAGGGUGCAAGCGUUGUCCGGAAUUAUUGGGCGUAAAGAGCUCGUAGGCGGUUUGUCGCGUCUGCUGUGAAAACCCGAGGCUCAACCUCGGGCCUGCAGUGGGUACGGGCAAACUAGAGUGCGGUAGGGGACAUUGGAAUUCCUGGUGUAGCGGUGGAAUGCGCAGAUAUCAGGAGGAACACCGAUGGCGAAGGCAGAUCUCUGGGCCGUAACUGACGCUGAGGAGCGAAAGCAUGGGGAGCGAACA